Long non-coding RNA from Hippocampus zosterae (dwarf seahorse), 1409 nucleotides. RefSeq lists it as uncharacterized. Lineage: Eukaryota; Metazoa; Chordata; Actinopteri; Syngnathiformes; Syngnathidae. The transcript is spliced from 3 exons. The record is from RefSeq and is a predicted model, not a curated record.
GCCCGAUUCCGAAGUUAGUCGCAUGUGGAUCUUAACAAGUUUAAAACGCGCUGCAAUUGAUAAUUUAACAGCAACAUCAACUAAAAGUAAAACGGAGUUGUGUUAUUUUAAUGCACGACUACAACUACGACGAUGCAUGUCACAAUACAACGAGGGACAUCUGUCCCUGAGCUGCAAAAAUGCAACAUAUGUUGCAGUAUGUACCACUGUCCAUUCUGCCAGCCCGCAUGGUUUAAACCCACAUACUACUGCAAGGUAAAGGACCAUGUGGAAGGCCAUUUUAACCGAGCAGUAUCACAUGAAGGGUAUACCAUUCAUAGAUGUGGGCUACAAUGCCGACCAAAACUGCACUUUAGUUGCAUCUAUCGCCGUGGAAUAAUAACGCGCAUGGGUACCCUUCAUAAAUCACCUUCGCAUGUGUAAGGAAAAGCACCCUGCUUUGAUGGUCUCUGUUGGUGCUGCUAAGGCGCCUGCACCCCCACAGAGGAACACCGGGAAGUCCUUUUUAGACAUCCGAGAGGCAUUGUGGAUGGAGAAGGAACUCCCAACAACAUUGUGAAUGAGGUGGACUUUUUGAUGGCUGUUCUAUUACUAGAGAUGAUGUUAUCCCCAGCUGCUCCACACGUUCAAAAUAGAUACAAAAAUAUAGUUUUUUUUUUGUAUUUGUAGAUUGUGUGAAUAUUUUCUAAAAUAUUUCAAUGUACAAAUCCUUUUCUCUUAAUAGGCUAUUAUUUCCAGGGCAUAGUGAGGGUGACCUCCUACAAGUACCUAGGUGUUCUUCUGAACAACAAACUGGACUGGUAUACAAACACGGACACCUUGAUUAGGAAAGGAUAGAGCCGACUCUUCCUACUCAGGAAACUGGGGUUCAGGGUUCGCUCUUUAAGACUUUCUAUAACUCGGUGGUGGCCUCGGCCAUCCAUUAUGGCAUUGUCUGCUGGUCAGGCAGCAUCUCAGCCCGGGACAGAAAGAGGCUGGAGCAACUGGUCAGGAAGGCCAGUUCUGUCUUGGGUUGCUCCCUUGACACUCUGGAGGAGGUGGGCAACAGAAGGAUGUUAACUAAGCUAAAAGCUAUGAUGGCCAGUCCCUCCCACGCCCUCCAGCCCGCCCUGACAGCACUUGGUAGCUCCUUCAGCCAGAGACUGUUACACCCGCGCUGCAAGAAGGAGAGAUACCGACGCUCGUUCCUACCGACUGCUGUCAGGCUGCUGAAUAAAAAUAACAAUAAUAAUAAUAAUAAUUAAAUGAUGUGAAAGACAAUUUUAAAUAGCACUGCAAUUUAUCCAUUUUGUGUUUAUAUUGCACUUAAUUUAACGGUGUUUGUUGUUUUUUUUCUUCUUUCUACCUACAUUCUUGCUGCUGGAGGCUGUAAAUUUCCCCAGUGUGGGACAAAUAAAGGAUAUCUUAUU